Oncorhynchus nerka (sockeye salmon) is the source of this 1808-nucleotide long non-coding RNA. RefSeq lists it as uncharacterized. The transcript is spliced from 4 exons. The record is from RefSeq and is a predicted model, not a curated record. Lineage: Eukaryota; Metazoa; Chordata; Actinopteri; Salmoniformes; Salmonidae.
AAUGUUGCAUGCCCGGCAUUUUGUGUUGGACGCUAGGAGAGGGAAGUAAAGACAGAUGUCAACUGACUGACUGACUCCCGGGCUGGAGUGAUCAGUUUCAUAUGACCUGGGGCUUGAUUGGUUUAUGUCAUUAAGGCAAUCACAUGUCCCUACGGUGGAUGGAUGGUCAGCCACGCAGGAGGGUGAUUUUUACUAAGGAGGAGAAGGAGGCCGUGCUGUCCGAGAUGCAUGCUGGCCAUUUCGGAGAGAAGCACAUGACAAGCAAAAUCAACCUACGCUUCUUCUGACGGGGAAUUGAAAUAACCUUUUAUAAAUCACAUUCUAUUAUAUCUGAAAUCAUUAUUAUUUCAAUGAAUGUCAUAUCAGAGAGCACACUGUUUCAAUUUGUCACUUUCUAGCCUGCCAGAAGUUUGAGAGGGCGAAGACUGUGGCGCCGGAGUUGAAGCCCAUCAAAGUUGUUUCACCAUGGGGUGGACCUCAUCAGACACUUCACCAAAUCCAGGAAUGGCAACAGCUGGUGUCUGACGGCGACCAAUCACUUUACCAAGUGGGUGGAGGCAGUACUCAUUAAGGAUGAGACUGGUGAGGCCACCUCAAGGCGAUGGAGAUCUUCAACACCCACGGUUCUCCUGAGGCCAUCUUGAGUGAACGAGGUGAUGAAUGCUGGAACAAGGUACGGAUGUUAUAGAGUCGCAAUUCAACGGCUCAGACACAAGAGGUAUGUGGCAGGGUCUACAGUCAAUCACGGAUUACAAAAAGAAAACCAGCCCCGGCGCGGACCAGGAUGUCUUGCUCCCAGGAUGUCUUGCUCCCAGGAUGUCUUGCUCCCAGGAUGUCUUGCUCCCAGGAUGUCUUGCUCCCAGAAUGUCUUGCUCCCAGGAUGUCUUGCUCCCAGGAUGUCUUGCUCCCAGGAUGUCUUGCGCAGCAGCGCCUCUUCAACCUCAGGAGGCUGAAGAAAUUCAGCUCGUCACCAAAAGCACUCACAAACUUUUACAGAUGCACAAUCGAGAGCAUCCUGUCGGGCUGUAUCACCGCCUGGUACGGCAACUGCUCCGCCCACAACCAUAAGGCUCUCCAGAGGGUAGUGAGGUUUGUACAACGCGUCACUGGGGGCAAACUACCUGCCCCCCAGGACACCUACACCACCCGAUGUCACAGGAAGGCCAUAAAGAUCAUCAAGGACAACAACCACCCGAGCCACUGCCUGUUCACCCCGCUAUCAUCCAGAAGGCGAGGUCAGUACAGGUGCCUCAAAGCAGGGACCGAGAGACUGAAAAACAGCUUCUAUCUCAAGGACAUCGGACUGUUAAACAGCCACCACUAACAUUGAGUGGCUGCUGCCAACAUACUGACUCAACUCCAGCCACUUUAACCACUUUAAUAAUGGAAAAUUGAUGUAAAAAAUGUAUCACUAGCCACUUUAAACAAUGCCACUUAAUAUAAUGUUUACAUACCCUACAUUACUCAUCUCAUAUGUAUAUACCGUACUCUAUACCAUCUACUGCAUCUUGCCAUCUUUAUGUAAUACAUGUAUCACUAACCACUUUAAACAGUGCCACUUUUAUGUUUACAUACCCUACAUUACUCAUCUCAUAUGUAUACACGGUACUCGAUACCAUCUACUGCAUCUUGCCUAUGCCGUUCUGUACCAUCACUCAUUCAUAUAUCUUUAUGUACAUAUUCUUUAUCCCUUUACACUUGUGUGUAUAAGGUAGUUGUUGUGGAAUUGUUAGGUUAGAUUUUCUCAUUGGUUAUUACUGCAUUGUCGGAACUAGAAGCACAAGCAUUUCUCUACACUCGCAUUAACA